GGGUGUAUAGCUCAGUUCGGUAGAGCAGCAGGCUUUUAACUUGUGGGUCCUGGGUUCGAGUCCCAGUACACCUA
Molecule: transfer RNA, 74 nt
Filed under: Hemiarma marina
Lineage: Eukaryota; Cryptophyceae; Goniomonadida; Goniomonadaceae
Description: tRNA-Lys
Rfam family: tRNA
About the family: Transfer RNA (tRNA) molecules are approximately 80 nucleotides in length. Their secondary structure includes four short double-helical elements and three loops (D, anti-codon, and T loops).
Source: RNAcentral